This 468-nucleotide ribosomal RNA is filed under the name uncultured bacterium. RNAcentral describes it as "partial 16S ribosomal RNA". It matches the Rfam family "Bacterial small subunit ribosomal RNA", at positions 28 to 507 of the family's 1533-position model. The record is from RNAcentral.
GACGAACGCUGGCGGCGUGCUUAACACAUGCAAGUCGAACGGAAAGGCCCUGCUUUUGUGGGGUGCUCGAGUGGCGAACGGGUGAGUAACACGUGAGUAACCUGCCCUUGACUUUGGGAUAACUUCAGGAAACUGGGGCUAAUACCGGAUAGGAGCUCCUGCUGCAUGGUGGGGGUUGGAAAGUUUCGGCGGUUGGGGAUGGACUCGCGGCUUAUCAGCUUGUUGGUGGGGUAGUGGCUUACCAAGGCUUUGACGGGUAGCCGGCCUGAGAGGGUGACCGGACACAUUGGGACUGAGAUACGGCCCAGACUCCCACGGGAGGCAGCAGUGGGGAAUAUUGCACAAUGGGCGGAAGCCUGAUGCAGCAACGCCGCGUGCGGGAUGACGGCCUUCGGGUUGUAAACCGCUUUCGCCUGUGACGAAGCGUGAGUGACGGUAAUGGGUAAAGAAGCACCGGCUAACUACGUG